This 1191-nucleotide long non-coding RNA is filed under the name Felis catus (domestic cat). Its description in RNAcentral is "lncRNA (ENSFCAG00000053722.1)". Lineage: Eukaryota; Metazoa; Chordata; Mammalia; Carnivora; Felidae. The record is from RNAcentral.
AUGGGGCGGGGCUCACGCCCAAGGCCGAGCUCACGCAAGGGGCGGAGCCCACGCACAGGGCGGAGCGCACGCACGGGGCGGAGCCCACGCGGCGCACGCACGGGGCCCACGCAGAGGGAGGGGCUCAUGCACGGGGCGGGGCCCACGAGGCGCACGCACGGGGCCCACGCAGAGGGCGGGGCUCAUGCACAGGGCGGGGCCCACGCACCGACGAAGCUCACGCACGGGGCUCAUGCACAGGGCUGGGCUCGCACAUGCGGCUCACGCAGUGGCUGGGAUUACGCAGGGGGCGGGGCUCACGCAGGGGCUGGGAUUACGCGGGGAGCAGGGCUCAUGCACGGGGCGGGGCUCACGCAGGGGCGGGGCUCAUGCACGGGGAGUGGCUCACUAGAGGGGGCUGGUGCUGGAGGGUCCUGGCUGCCUCGCCCCCAGGUCAGGCACAGCUGUGGCUGUGGGCUGGAGCUCCCCGGUUCUUCUUGUUGCCUCGCUCUUCCUGUCGGCAGGAUGGGCUCCGUGGCGGUCUCGGGGCAGAGAACGGGUGUGAGCAGACAAGCCGGCGUGGACAUCUCUUGCACUGAAUUCUAUUGGUCAAAGUGCAUCAAAGGCCCCUGGGGAGGGGGCUUCGAGGGUGGGGGGUGUGGACUCUACCUCCUGAAGGUGGCACCUUCAGAGUCACACACAGGGGAGAGGGGCCGCCCCUCAAACAACCCCGGGCGCCCUCGGACGCGAGCCGGCCACCUUCUCGGCGCACUGGGUUCCUCUUCAGCCGCCACUUGUGUCGGGCCCUUGUGCCAGAUGACCCGGUUUAGCGUGGCAGAGAUUUCUUCUCAACAAGUUCGCGAGGGCAGGACUCAGGGAACCUCCAGCCCCUUCCCUGCACCUGCCUCCCCCUUUCCAAGCUCUCAGACCACUGCCACGUUCGGCCCCGGCUGUCCCUGUGGAUUUGGGCCACCCUCGGUCUCCGCUUUCUGCACAGCUGGCCUGGGAGGGCACUGCUGGCUGUGGGGCGACCCGGCUCCACCCCGUGGGCCUCUGCCCCGUUUUCCGGUCCUCGCAGCCCAGCCCUAUGAGAAGGAUGCUUUCUCCGCAAGCGAGGCUCCCUGGGAAACCGACUGGGGCCUGAGGGGACAGACUUUUGCCGGUCAAGUGGGAAAAACUGUACCCGGAAGUACCGGAGAUGGGCUUAUUUAG